This 253-nucleotide ribosomal RNA is filed under the name uncultured Oscillospira sp. Its description in RNAcentral is "partial 16S ribosomal RNA". It matches the Rfam family "Bacterial small subunit ribosomal RNA", at positions 524 to 776 of the family's 1533-position model. Lineage: Bacteria; Bacillati; Bacillota; Clostridia; Eubacteriales; Oscillospiraceae. The record is from RNAcentral.
UACGUAGGUGGCAAGCGUUAUCCGGAUUUACUGGGUGUAAAGGGCGUGUAGGCGGGAAAGCAAGUCAGAUGUGAAAACCAUGGGCUCAACCCAUGGCCUGCAUUUGAAACUGUAGUUCUUGAGUGUUGGAGAGGCAGGCGGAAUUCCGUGUGUAGCGGUGAAAUGCGUAGAUAUAUGGAAGAACACCAGUGGCGAAGGCGGCCGCCUGGCCUGUUGCUGACGCUGAGGCACGAAAGCGUGGGGAGCAAAUAGG